GAAAACAGCAAUUUCUUGUAAUUUUUGCAUUGCAUUUUGGGAAAAAGAAUGUGAGACCACAUGCUUGGAAGGAGAGCGGAGUAAGAAGACAAAUUUCCACCCAACUCCAUCCUAACAACAAACAGGAAUCCGUCACAGCAACUGAUAUGGAGAGAACCCUCCCACUUCCCACAACUCCUCGGCUGAUACUCCAUGGCGGGACAUAGGGAUCAACCCUGAGCGGGGCACAAAGGCUGUACAGGGCAAAGGGAAGGUCAAAAAGAGCUCUGGCAGACCUCCGGUCUCAAGUCUCCUAAAAAGACUAAUGG
Molecule: long non-coding RNA, 308 nt
Organism: Notolabrus celidotus (New Zealand spotty)
Lineage: Eukaryota; Metazoa; Chordata; Actinopteri; Labriformes; Labridae
Exons: 3
Source: RefSeq, a predicted model, not a curated record